Molecule: small nuclear RNA, 128 nt
Organism: Anolis sagrei ordinatus
Lineage: Eukaryota; Metazoa; Chordata; Lepidosauria; Squamata; Anolidae
Source: RefSeq, a predicted model, not a curated record
UGGUCAUAUGAAAAGAGAGGAGGGUAACGGUUCCCUUAAUAAGGAAAGUCAAGGGCCCAGGGCUCUGUACAACACACAUAUAGUUAAAACAUUGUCACUUACUAUGUGGCAUCUAACCAAGUAAUUUU